This 148-nucleotide signal recognition particle RNA is filed under the name Chlorocebus sabaeus (green monkey). Its description in RNAcentral is "Metazoan signal recognition particle RNA". It matches the Rfam family "Metazoan signal recognition particle RNA". From Rfam's summary of the family: The signal recognition particle (SRP) is a universally conserved ribonucleoprotein. It is involved in the co-translational targeting of proteins to membranes. Lineage: Eukaryota; Metazoa; Chordata; Mammalia; Primates; Cercopithecidae. The record is from Rfam by way of RNAcentral.
GCCAGGUGUGAUGGUUCAUGCCUGUAGUCCCAGCUACUCAGGAGGCUGAGGCAGGAGGAUCGCUUGAGCCCAGGAAUUUGAGGCUGCAGUGAGCUAUGAUCGCACCAUUGCACUCCAGCCUGGGCAACAGAGUGAGAUGCUGUCUCUU